This is a long non-coding RNA of Oxyura jamaicensis (ruddy duck), 294 nucleotides long. RefSeq lists it as uncharacterized. The transcript has 3 exons. The record is from RefSeq and is a predicted model, not a curated record. NCBI's taxonomy places the organism in Eukaryota, Metazoa, Chordata, Aves, Anseriformes, Anatidae.
GAACAGCUAAAACAUUUUCUUUUUUUAAAGGUAAAGCCUCAGUCUAAAACCCCUUGAAUUCUCAGCCUAACAUAUGCUGGAUGGCAGAUCGUGUCAGAAGAAGCCUGUAGUCCAUCUGUUGCCAGAUAGCUGAGUCUUUACAUUCUGCCAACGCAGCUUCAGCUGAUGCUCCACUCUAGCUCCCCCCAUUCCCACCAGAGAAAACAAUGGGAGAAUCCCAAGUCUUCACAGUUGUGCUGAAAGUAGCUCGGGGACCUUUGUACGACAUGAAGAACUGGGAACAGCAGAAUACCA